GUACUUUGGUAGAAUUUGAAACCAAUGAACUGGGAUUGCCCAUCCCUUUGGCAGCACAAGAAAGACCGGGUUCCUGAGAAUAAAAGCCCUAUUAUUGAGAAACGAGAGGACAUAAUGAUUGAAACACCUGCAGGCAAAAAGCCAGAGGUAGAGAAGAAUGAAGGGAAACAAGCAUCACCCAGAUCAAUGAGCACUCCCAUCU
This 202-nucleotide unclassified non-coding RNA is filed under the name Hevea brasiliensis (rubber tree). Lineage: Eukaryota; Viridiplantae; Streptophyta; Magnoliopsida; Malpighiales; Euphorbiaceae. The record is from RNAcentral.